Molecule: ribosomal RNA, 464 nt
Filed under: uncultured bacterium
Lineage: Bacteria
Description: partial 16S ribosomal RNA
Rfam family: Bacterial small subunit ribosomal RNA
Source: RNAcentral
GACGAACGCUGGCGGCGUGCUUAACACAUGCAAGUCGAACGGAAAGGCCCUGCUUGCAGGGUACUCGAGUGGCGAACGGGUGAGUAACACGUGGGUGAUCUGCCCUGCACUUCGGGAUAAGCCUGGGAAACUGGGUCUAAUACCGGAUAGGAGCCAUUUUUAGUGUGAUGGUUGGAAAGUUUUUUCGGUGAGGAUGAGCUCGCGGCCUAUCAGCUUGUUGGUGGGGUAAUGGCCUACCAAGGCGGCGACGGGUAGCCGGCCUGAGAGGGUGGACGGCCACAUUGGGACUGAGAUACGGCCCAGACUCCUACGGGAGGCAGCAGUGGGGAAUAAUGCACAAUGGGCGCAAGCCUGAUGCAGCGACGCCGCGUGGGGGAUGACGGCCUUCGGGUUGUAAACUCCUUUCGCUAGGGACGAAGCUUUUUGUGACGGUACCUAGAUAAGAAGCACCGGCUAACUACGUG